RNAcentral lists this ribosomal RNA (528 nucleotides) under uncultured eukaryote. Its description in RNAcentral is "SSU rRNA". It matches the Rfam family "Eukaryotic small subunit ribosomal RNA", at positions 592 to 1124 of the family's 1831-position model. The record is from RNAcentral.
CAAUAGCGUAUAUUAAAGUUGUUGCAGUUAAAAAGCUCGUAGUUGAACCUUGGGCCUGGCUGGCCGGUCCGCCUCACCGCGUGUACUGGUCCGGCCGGGCCUUUCCUUCUGGGGAACCUCAUGCCCUUCACUGGGCGUGUUGGGGAACCAGGACUUUUACUUUGAAAAAAUUAGAGUGUUCAAAGCAGGCCUUUGCUCGAAUACAUUAGCAUGGAAUAAUAGAAUAGGACGUGUGGUUCUAUUUUGUUGGUUUCUAGGACCGCCGUAAUGAUUAAUAGGGAUAGUCGGGGGCAUCAGUAUUCAAUCGUCAGAGGUGAAAUUCUUGGAUUGAUUGAAGACUAACUACUGCGAAAGCAUUUGCCAAGGAUGUUUUCAUUAAUCAGUGAACGAAAGUUAGGGGAUCGAAGACGAUCAGAUACCGUCGUAGUCUUAACCAUAAACUAUGCCGACUAGGGAUCGGACGGUGUUAGUAUUUUGACCCGUUCGGCACCUUACGAGAAGUCAAAGUUUUUGGGUUCUGGGGGGAGU